Molecule: transfer RNA, 80 nt
Filed under: Sphingopyxis bauzanensis
Lineage: Bacteria; Pseudomonadati; Pseudomonadota; Alphaproteobacteria; Sphingomonadales; Sphingopyxidaceae
Description: tRNA-Leu
Source: RNAcentral
GACCGCUCCUGCGGGCAGCUUGAACAGGUCGCCGUUGAGGUCGGCGGUGACCGUCGCGAGUUCGUUCCCGCCGCGGUCGC